This 389-nucleotide unclassified non-coding RNA is filed under the name uncultured fungus. RNAcentral's name for it is "partial contains ITS1, 5.8S rRNA and ITS2". Lineage: Eukaryota; Fungi. The record is from RNAcentral.
AACCCAAAUUGGACUGGUACCUUAAAUACCAGUAUGUUUGGUUGAGUGUUAUAAAUUAAUAACCGAUGCUUGGUUUUAAUUUAAUUGAGUUUAAUGUUAUUCUUUGAGUAAUGUUAAAAAUUUGAGAAUUCUUAAUACGAUUCUUUAAAUUCAAGCUUAAUAAUUUGAGUAUAAUUUAUUAUACUUAGAUGAUGUUACGCUAAUAGUUAAAUUCAAUAGUUAUUAAUAAGUUUUAGCAUUUAUGCUCUAACUUUUAUUAUUAUUGAGUUUUAUCAAGCUAUUAAGUUUAAAAUGUCACCGUAAAGUUAUUAUGUAAAUAAAAUUGAAUAAGUUUACUUAUUCAUUAAAUUUUAUGCCUCAACUCAAACAAGAUUACCCGCUGAACUUAA